Molecule: ribosomal RNA, 164 nt
Filed under: Rorippa palustris (bog yellowcress)
Lineage: Eukaryota; Viridiplantae; Streptophyta; Magnoliopsida; Brassicales; Brassicaceae
Description: 5.8S ribosomal RNA
Rfam family: 5.8S ribosomal RNA
About the family: 5.8S ribosomal RNA (5.8S rRNA) is a component of the large subunit of the eukaryotic ribosome. It is transcribed by RNA polymerase I as part of the 45S precursor that also contains 18S and 28S rRNA.
Source: RNAcentral
AAACCGACUCUCGSCAACGGAUAUCUCGGCUCUCGCAUCGAUGAAGAACGUAGCGAAAUGCGAUACUUGGUGUGAAUUGCAGAAUCCCGUGAACCAUCGAGUCUUUGAACGCAAGUUGCGCCCUAAGCCUUCUGGCCGAGGGCACGUCUGCCUGGKUGUCACAA